Molecule: long non-coding RNA, 212 nt
Filed under: Elaeis guineensis (African oil palm)
Lineage: Eukaryota; Viridiplantae; Streptophyta; Magnoliopsida; Arecales; Arecaceae
Description: long non-coding RNA (EGUI_LNC001306)
Source: RNAcentral
CCAUCGGUGAUUCUUCCUUAUUUUGGACAUCAAAAAUCAGAUCAAAAUCCAUCAAAAAGUCAAGUAAAUCUCUUCAAUCCUCCUCUUUCAAUCUGCUAUGAAUUUUAAACUUGAUUUUUUGCCGAUUUAUUGUCAGAAAAAUUCUUGAAAUCCUAGUUCAACAAGUUCUCCUAUUUUUUUAUUUUUUUUAUCUUUCCGGCAUCGUUAGGCUG